GACGAUCUCCGCAAACUGCUGGAAAUCUUGAGAAGACUGAUGCUGACUUGCAUUGACACGUUUCAAGUUCUCCUGCGUCGAAAAAUUUAAGUUUUCAUGGAUUAUAGACCAUUUAUCUAUGGAGGGUUGGCCUCCAUGACUGCUGAAUUUGGAACAUUUCCUAUUGACACAACAAAAACACGGCUACAGCUUCAGGGUCAAGUGAUAGAUGCUAAACAGAAAGAGAUUAGAUAUAGAGGAAUGCUCCAUGCUUUUGUUAGAAUUUCCAGAGAAGAUGGGGUCAAGGCAUUGUAUAAUGGGGUAGCACCAGCACUUUUGCGUCAAGCAACCUAUGGAUCUCUAAAAUUAGGCUUUUACCAUGCUCUGAAGAGGAGGCUGGUAAAAAACCCAAAAGACGAAACUUUAUUUUACAAUGUAAUGGCAGGGGUUGUUGCUGGAGCAUUCUCAUCAGCUAUUUGUAAUCCUACUGAUCUUUUAAAGAUUCGUAUGCAGGCAGAGUAUCAAUCAGGGGUUAAUGUCAGAAGAAAAGGAAUGCUUCGAUCUUUUGCUUCAAUAUUUAAAGAAGAGGGAAUCAGGGGACUCUAUCGGGGAGUUGGUCCCACAGCUCAAAGAGCAGCAGUUAUUUCAGGAGUUGAACUUCCAGUCUAUGAUUGGUGUAAAAAGAAAAUUUUGGAUCUUAAGAUUAUGGGUGACAACCCUUACACUCAUUUUUGUGCAAGUGGAGUUGCUGGACUAGCAGACGAGAAUGAUGAAUCAAAGGAAUCUGAAGGUAAACACUGGAAGUGUAACUGUCAUUUACACAAGUGCUGCCCACUGUUUGCUCACUACUUUGAAGUCUGAAGGUUUUUUUGCCCUCUAUCGUGGGUUUGUACCUCAGUUUCUGAGACUAUUUCCAUGGAAUGUUAUUUUCUUUAUGUCGUAUGAGCAGUACAAGAAGUAUGGAGAUGAAGUAUUAUCAUAAUAGCAAGUUAAUGGUUUGCUCUAGUUUUACAUAAAUGCUGACAUCUAGUGAGGUCGUGUGGAGCAUUUCUACAACUUAAAAAGCAACCUAAAUUUCAUGCUGUUGUUUAUCAUCAUCAGAUAGUAGUGGAGAUGCAAUAGCAAACAAAGAAAAAAGCCAAAGAGAAUAAAUAAAUGAAAAAAAAAAUUAAUAAUUGUGCAAAUCCACAUAUUAUGACAUUAGAUCAGUUGUGACCUAUGACCAGUAUUGGACUAGUUUCAUGAGUGAUUCAUGACAUGAUUGAUAAGAGCCUUAUGAGAAGAAUCCACACAUAACAGCAAUUGAGAAUAGUAUUAUUUAUUUUUAUUUCCAUGAAAAUAAUCAAAUUAUUUCAUUCAAUUCAAAAAUUGUUCUCAUUCAAUUAUGCCUGGUGAUUUAUGCCAGAAAGCUUUAGUUCAGAUUGCACUGCACUUCAUAGUGGGAUGUGUUUGGUAUAUGUUGCAACUCCCCUUUCGUUCUAAGCUUAAUAAUAUACAUGAAAAAAUUUCUCAAUUCUGAUUGGUUAAGAUGAAUGCAGUUUUCAUUUAAUUCAGUGCAGG
This 1539-nucleotide unclassified non-coding RNA is filed under the name Stylophora pistillata. RNAcentral's name for it is "kidney mitochondrial carrier protein 1-like, transcript variant X1". Lineage: Eukaryota; Metazoa; Cnidaria; Anthozoa; Scleractinia; Pocilloporidae. The record is from RNAcentral.